ACUUUUAAAGGAAACUAGAAACCCAUUAGCCUUAGAGUUAACACUCU
This 47-nucleotide transfer RNA is filed under the name Rhineura floridana. RNAcentral describes it as "partial tRNA-Leu". The record is from RNAcentral. Lineage: Eukaryota; Metazoa; Chordata; Lepidosauria; Squamata; Rhineuridae.